This is a long non-coding RNA of Helianthus annuus (common sunflower), 1048 nucleotides long. RefSeq lists it as uncharacterized. The transcript has 4 exons. The record is from RefSeq and is a predicted model, not a curated record. Lineage: Eukaryota; Viridiplantae; Streptophyta; Magnoliopsida; Asterales; Asteraceae.
AAUACCCUACCACUAUUGUCGUUUUUUCGCUUUGUUUCAACAACCAUUUCUCUCUCUAAAUCUUGAAUCAAUAAACUAUUCUACUUCUGGCAGAAACAAAUUCACAGAUUUAAGAUUGUUUCUUCUUCAAUUCUAAAUUAUAGGGUUUUCCUUUGCAGAUUUUGGAGUUCAAUCUUCGGCCAUUGUUCUUCAGUAAGUGUUCUCCCAAUCGGUUCCAAACCACUCAACUAUUCGGGUUUGAUUCGUAGUUGAAUGCUGUGACUUUUAUUGUCGAUUAUUUCUUUCUGGCGAAUUUGGUGCAACGAAUUUGGUCCUCUGAUAAUAAGUGUCAAGCUAUUAGGAAUCAUCAUUUCAUCUAUGUUCAUCGCCUCGAAUCAUCAGUUAUCAAGAUUUACAGAUAUCCAAACAAACAAAGCUUCAUCGGUUCUGGUCAUCAUUAAAGUACUCAUCCCCUGCCACUACAACUUGCGGUUCAACAUGAGAUUCAACAAAACAACAAUGGGUCAGUUUCCAAGCAACAGGAAGAAUGGUGAUGCGGUCGAUUGGGUGUGAUCAUGGAAAACGACCGACUAUAUUCUUGUCUCGUGUCCCUCCUUGGCUAUGGUAUGGAUUUAAAUUUGUCUGUGGGUAAAUGUGUUACCCGCACCCGUCUUUCACGCUAACCGGGAGGCUUGGAUCACAUCACUGGGUUCGGGCCUUCCAAGGACUCAAGGAGGGUAAGAAGGUGCUUAGUUUGAUAGUUAUGGCCUCACUUUGUUUGAUAAUAAUGGAUGGCUAGAAACAACAGGAAUUUCAACAACAAAAUGGAGCAGUGGUUUGAGUUGGUGGAAGAUGUGAAAGGAACCUCUUUCCUUUGGUUGUCUCUCUGGUCAAAGAUCAGAAGCAACGAUUGGUCUUUAUGGAGGAUUUUUGAUUAUAUGGUUUAAUGGUGUUGUCUUGAUUUGGUGUAAUGUGCAACUGUUUGCUUUGCUAUCCUAGCUUCUUGCUGGGUCCAGCUUUGGUUUUCUAAUAUUGCCAUUUGACAAAAAAAAAAUCUAAUGUCUCCCAU